This 72-nucleotide transfer RNA is filed under the name Salmonella enterica. RNAcentral's name for it is "tRNA-Met". It matches the Rfam family "tRNA". Rfam says of the family: Transfer RNA (tRNA) molecules are approximately 80 nucleotides in length. Their secondary structure includes four short double-helical elements and three loops (D, anti-codon, and T loops). RNAcentral also lists the same sequence under 1 other name. Lineage: Bacteria; Pseudomonadati; Pseudomonadota; Gammaproteobacteria; Enterobacterales; Enterobacteriaceae. The record is from RNAcentral.
GGCCCUUUAGCUCAGUUGGUCAGAGCGUGCGACUCAUAAUCGCCCGGUCGCUGGUUCAGGCAAGGGUCACCA